UGUUUCGCUUUGGUUGCUUACAGCUGCGGUUAAAUUUAUUAUGUCUGGUGGUGGUGAUCUCGAGGCUGAAUCAAAUAAUCCUACCUCCUCUUCGUUAAUGGCGCCAUCACCCAGAGAAUCUGAGCUCUUCAAGAUUCAGCUGUCAAUGAGAAACGAUGUUUUUGUUACCUGAAGCUUGUUGGAUCAGGGGAAUUCAAUUGAGACUUCAAAAAAGUUAUUCACUCCUUGAUUGCCACAGUUGAAGAAGUGGAGGAAGCAACCAGGACUCAAUGGUGGAGGAAGCAAAUUGAAUGAGGAGUUGGAAGGAGAAAAGUCCCAAAGAAAAGUUUCUCAAGACAAAGUUACCUAUUUGCCUGUAGAUUAUCUGUCGAUAUGAUUGGAUUGGAAGAACGAGAGAGAGAGAAAGAGAGAGCGAAAAGAGUGUGAGUAUGUUAGCAAAAGAGAGAGAGGCAUGAGAAAAAAAUAGCAAGAAAAAGUGAGAAUCUGAGUAAGAAGGAUAAAGAAAUGUUCGAGCAUGGAAGAGUUAUGAAGGAAAAAGAAAGGGAAGAAAGUAAGAGAUUUUAUUUCGAUCGAAGAGGAGAAAACGAUCGAAGUAAGGGCUGGUACUAUUGUGUGGGUUUUACUCUUCGCCAAUCGAUUGAGAAAAUAACUACGAUUUUAUUCAGGAGAAUGGGAAUGAAUAAGAAGGAGGAGGAAUGAUAGAGUGAGAAUGUUGGUGGGAGUGAGAGAGUAAAAACAGAGUUUGAUUAUCAAUGGCCAAAACAGAUCAAACCUUAAGUCGAGAUUGUUGUUGAUUAUUUGAAAUCCUGUUAAACUGAAUGGAAACACAGAGAGACACAGAAAAUAUGAACUAUUGCUGAUGAUCUGGUUACACACUGGUUUGGUACAGACAAGACUGGCAACCUAAAAUGUGGAUAUCUUUUGUUUAGGUUGUUACUGUUGAUGUUGAUCGGGACUUUCAAAUGAUGAUUAACUCUUUUUAUACCGCAAACCAAAGGACGAGUGAAACCAAAAAUAUGACGAUAUCGAUGAGGACGUUGAUACAAUGUACAUCAACCAGUCGAAACACUUACUCUUGUUUACCUUGUUUCUUAUUUUCCUCUUCUUCUUGUCUCGUCUUACUGUGUGUAUGUUAUUGUUAUUGUUAUGUUGUUAUUGAGUUUGGAGUUAUAACUCCACACACUUCUUACUUUUAAAAAAACUGUUGGUUGACAAGAUGAUUAUUUAUCAAUAAUAUAUUUGUUAAUCAAGCACAGAUGUAAUUUUAAUUUCAUCUUGAAAUUAAACAACAACAAGAAAGAAAGGAAAAGAUAUAUAUUUUUGUAUAUAUAAUCACAGAGAAGGAAUUAGGCAAAAAAAUCAGUCUCUACUUGAUAUUAUUUUUGUAUGUUAACCCAAUGUAACACGCCAUUUUGGCUUUCCUCUUUCUCUCUUUUCCCUUUCUUUUCUUUCUUUUGAUCCUCUUUCCAGGUCUCUCUUCGAGUCUCUCUUUCGAACCUCUCUUUCGAGCCUCUUUCGAGUUUCCCUUUCUUUCCACUUUUUAUCCAGGAAAGAGAAAGGAACCAGAAAAAAGAGAGGAAUGAUGAUGAAGAUGAAAGGGAAGAAAGUCCAACUUGCAUAGAGCAUCCUCCGUAUACUCACCCUGCUGUACAAAGAUACAAGUUAAAUGGUUAAAUGUGAAUGUUAAAGAUGACUCUUGUCUUCCCUCAUCAUCUCUCAUUUUGUAUUACCUUCACAAUACCCACUUUCCUCUCUCUCUCUCUCUCUCUUAUUAUGCUUCUUUCUCCUCUUUUAAUCCGCCGAUUACACUUUUCCUCUCUCUUUGACUUCACUGUUUAAAGGGAUGAUGAAGAUGAUGAUGGAAACAUUGGUUUCUUUGGUUACUGCGACCUUGAAUGAUAAUAAUUGAGUUUUUUCAGCUUUUUUAAAAUGACGUUGAACCAAA
Tetranychus urticae (two-spotted spider mite) is the source of this 1945-nucleotide long non-coding RNA. RefSeq lists it as uncharacterized. Lineage: Eukaryota; Metazoa; Arthropoda; Arachnida; Trombidiformes; Tetranychidae. The record is from RefSeq and is a predicted model, not a curated record.